Molecule: ribosomal RNA, 782 nt
Filed under: unidentified archaeon
Lineage: Archaea
Description: bacterial SSU rRNA
Rfam family: Archaeal small subunit ribosomal RNA
Source: RNAcentral
GGUUGUGAGAGCAAGAGCCCGGAGAUGGAUUCUGAGACACGAAUCCAGGCCCUACGGGGUGCAGCAGGCGCGAAAACUUUACAAUGCUGGCAACAGCGAUAAGGGAACCUCGAGUGCCAGGUUACAAAUCUGGCUGUCGAGAUGCCUAAAAAGCAUUUCAUAGCAAGGGCCGGGCAAGACCGGUGCCAGCCGCCGCGGUAACACCGGCGGCUCGAGUGGUAACCGUUAUUAUUGGGUCUAAAGGGUCUGUAGCCGGCCGGAUAAGUCUCUUGAGAAAUCUGGCAGCUUAACUGUCAGGCUUUCAGGAGAUACUGUCUGGCUCGAGGCCGGGAGAGGUGAGAGGUACUUCAGGGGUAGGGGUGAAAUCUUGUAAUCCUUGAAGGACCACCAGUGGCGAAGGCGUCUCACCAGAACGGACCUGACGGCAAGGGACGAAAGCUAGGGGCACGAACCGGAUUAGAUACCCGGGUAGUCCUAGCCGUAAACGAUACUCGCUAGGUGUCGGCCACGGUGCGACCGUUGUCGGUGCCGUAGGGAAGCCGUGAAGCGAGCCACCUGGGAAGUACGGCCGCAAGGCUGAAACUUAAAGGAAUUGGCGGGGGAGCACCACAACGGGUGGAGCUUGCGGUUUAAUUGGAUUCAACGCCGGAAAUCUUACCGGGACCGACAGCAAUAUGAAGGCCAGGCUGAAGACUUUGCCGGAUUAGCUGAGAGGUGGUGCAUGGCCGUCGUCAGUUCGUACUGUGAAGCAUCCUGUUAAGUCAGGCAACGAGCGAGACCCA